UACGUAGGGGGCAAGCGUUAUCCGGAUUUACUGGGUGUAAAGGGAGCGUAGGUGGCAUGGUAAGCCAGAAGUGAAAACCCAGGGCUCAACUCUGUGGAUUGCUUUUGGAACUAUCAGGCUGGAGUGCUGGAGGGGUAAGCGGAAUUCCUAGUGUAGCGGUGAAAUGCGUAGAUAUUAGGAGGAACACCGGUGGCGAAGGCGGCUUACUGGACAGAAACUGACACUGAGGCUCGAAAGCGUGGGGAGCA
Molecule: ribosomal RNA, 248 nt
Filed under: uncultured Ruminococcus sp.
Lineage: Bacteria; Bacillati; Bacillota; Clostridia; Eubacteriales; Oscillospiraceae
Description: partial 16S ribosomal RNA
Rfam family: Bacterial small subunit ribosomal RNA
Source: RNAcentral